Molecule: ribosomal RNA, 446 nt
Filed under: uncultured bacterium
Lineage: Bacteria
Description: SSU rRNA
Rfam family: Bacterial small subunit ribosomal RNA
Source: RNAcentral
AGAUUGAACGCUGGCGGCAGACCUAACACAUGCAAGUCGAGCGCCCGUAGCAAUACGGGAGCGGCAGACGGGAUAGUAACACGUGGGAACGCGCCCUUCGGUUCGGAAUAACUCAGGGAAACUUGAGCUAAUACCGAAUACGCCCUUACGGGGAAAGAUUUAUUGCCGAAGGAACGGCCCGCGUCCGAUUAGCUAGUUGGUGAGGUAAUGGCUCACCAAGGCUACGAUCGGUAGCUGGUCUGAGAGGAUGACCAGCAUCACUGGGACUGAGAACGGCCCAGACUCCUACGGGAGGCAGCAGUAGGGAAUUCUCCACAAUGGGCGAAAGCCUGAUGGAGCAACGCCGCGUGCAGGAUGAAGGCUCUCGGGUCGUAAACUGCUUUUAUAUGUGAAGAUUAUGACGGUAGCAUAUGAAUAAGGAUCGGCUAACUCCGUGCCAGCAGCCG